CAUUUUUGUCAUUGUCUGAGUUUUAGGUUCAGAACAUAUGAACCAUAUUUAUAAUUUCCACUUCAGGAGACAGGAUGGAUAAGAACCAGUGUUGAAGAAAGCUGAUCCCUUGAGAGAUGAAGCAUGACAUGAUGUACUGUGAAGUUGGAGCCUUGGUCUGAGGAACUUUUAGUGACUGGAAUCAGCAAACGAUAUCCAAACCACUAUUCAGAGCUUCCAUUCAAUAUUUCCCUGAGAAUAGUUCCUGAUGCUGCAUGUACACUAGCCAAGAUAACCUGAUGACUGUUUUCUGGAACAUUAUGCUAUUUGCUAUAAAAUGCAUUCCUCAGUCACAUAAUUUACUCUUUAGGCACCUAAUUUAAAGUAUAGUUUAAGUGAUAUCUCUGCUCUAUUGGGAGCACUACAGCUUGUUCUAGUAUCUAUGUGGCAGAUGGCUUUGGACGUCAUUGGCUAUUGCUCUUCCAGGCUUAUAAACAAGUUAUAAGAACUGAGCAGCAGGAUGACACUUUUGUAGACCCAAUGACAUAAUUAUGGGUGUAGACCUAAUCUUAGAGAAGAAUUCCCAGAGAGCCCCAGUGUCAGCGUAAAUUAGAAAGACACUGCCGUAGGAGUAUUUUUAGAAUUUCUUUACUCCCACAGUAAUUGCAAAACCCCAACGUCACUUGAAAUACUAUGAAAACUCUGGGCUUGACUUGUAGGCAACUAUUCUCUAGUCCUACCUGAUAACUGUAGGCUGAAGAUUCUCUAGAUUUUAUCCUCGGAAAUAACAGUAGUUUGUACGUGGUGUAAGACACAUUGAUACAAAUCAAGAAACGUGGAAAUGCACAUGAUACAUAGACAAAGAAAACGUUAGCAAGUGGACAUAACAAAAAAGCAACAUUCUUUCAUUUUUAUAUACUCCCAGACUAGCUUCCCCGAGAUCAAAGGCUAUUUUGUAGUUAUUUAAUUGAUACAGAUAAUUCCAGAUAACAUGCUUUUACUGCUAUUUUCAUUAUUUGUUAGUAUUAGACAUGAUUUAUUGACUUCUAGUUCAAGUGGAGAACAAUUUGGUCUACUUGUAUUCCUUUUUAGUUUCUUUUCUAUCAGUUUCAGUUAUUAUAAUAUACUUCCAUUUCUAUGGGUAAAUUUUCUAACUUUAAAUAUUAUUUUAAAUUAUCAGCUGUUAAGUCUUGAAUGUUUAUGUUAGAUGAUGUUAA
Mus musculus (house mouse) is the source of this 1196-nucleotide long non-coding RNA. RefSeq annotates it as predicted gene, 33743. The transcript is spliced from 3 exons. The record is from RefSeq and is a predicted model, not a curated record. Lineage: Eukaryota; Metazoa; Chordata; Mammalia; Rodentia; Muridae.